GCUGGGCACGGUGGCACAUGCCUGUAGUCCCAGCUACUCGGGAGGUUGAGGUGGGAGGAUAGCUUGAGCCUAGGAGUUCUGGGCUGUAGUGUGCUAUGCCAAUCGGUGUCCACACCAAGUUCAGCAUUAAUAUGGUGACCUCCCGGGAGCGGGGGACCACCAGGUUGCCUAAGGAGGGGUGAACCGGCCCAGGUCAGAAAUGGAGCAGGUCAAAACUCCCGUGCUGAUCAAUAGUGGGAUCACGCCUGUGAAUAGCCACUGUACUCCAGCCUGGGCAACAUAUCGAGACCUUGUCUCA
RNAcentral lists this signal recognition particle RNA (298 nucleotides) under Aotus nancymaae (Ma's night monkey). Its description in RNAcentral is "Metazoan signal recognition particle RNA (ENSANAG00000004379.1)". It matches the Rfam family "Metazoan signal recognition particle RNA". From Rfam's summary of the family: The signal recognition particle (SRP) is a universally conserved ribonucleoprotein. Lineage: Eukaryota; Metazoa; Chordata; Mammalia; Primates; Aotidae. The record is from RNAcentral.